GAUCCUGGCUCAGGACGAACGCUGGCGGCGUGCUUAACACAUGCAAGUCGAACGAGGAAGUCUACUGAAAGAGUUUUCGGACAAUGGAAGUAGAGGAAAGUGGCGGACGGGUGAGUAACGCGUGAGGAACCUGCCUUGAAGAGGGGGGACAACAGUUGGAAACGACUGCUAAUACCGCAUGAUGCAUAAGGGUCGCAUGAUUCUUAUGCCAAAGAUUUAUCGCUUCAAGAUGGCCUCGCGU
RNAcentral lists this ribosomal RNA (241 nucleotides) under uncultured bacterium. Its description in RNAcentral is "partial 16S ribosomal RNA". It matches the Rfam family "Bacterial small subunit ribosomal RNA", at positions 15 to 236 of the family's 1533-position model. The record is from RNAcentral.